Molecule: RNA transcript, 1052 nt
Organism: Callorhinchus milii (elephant shark)
Lineage: Eukaryota; Metazoa; Chordata; Chondrichthyes; Chimaeriformes; Callorhinchidae
Exons: 3
Source: RefSeq, a predicted model, not a curated record
CUCCAACCACUGAGCUACAUUCCGUCAUAUCGUAUUUGAGCUGACAGCUGACUGCACCACCAUGAACAAUGCUAAAAGAGAACCAGAAGCCGGGCAGAGCCUAAAUCCAUUGCAAUAUGCAGUGUUGGCUGCAGUGUUCGGAACGGCAGUUAGAUAUAUCCAGAAACUGAAUGCAAAGGAUAAGGAACAGAUUGAAAAAUAUAAACAACUGAAAAAAAUGUAUGACAGCAAUGAAAAAAAGAGUCAAUUAGAAAGGCAAAAUCAGGCCAAAGAAUUGCUAAAACAUUUUGAACAAUUACUAAUGGUGAGGCAAAGUAUGUUUUGUAGUCCUUUCAUUCACCACCAACAUCGUUUAGAGAUAGAGAAGGAUAUUCUUUCCAAAGCUACUACGGACCCGAUAGCAAAAGAGAUUGGAAUGGAAGAAGACUUGAAAGAGAUUUUUCAACGUGAUAAACAUUGUGCUGAAAAAUGGAACUCCGACGGACGGAAAAACGGCAAAUUAAUGUGGAAUAAGAUCUUGAAAUGGAAGUCUAAAAAAGAUUAAAAGAGCCAAGGCUUCUUUCAAAGAGCAUGUUGGGAAAGAGACCAGAUAUAAAAUCAUAGCGAGUAUUAAAAUUCUUGGUGUCUAUUCCAAUAGAGACUUAGCUGUAGACUUUUGGCUGUUGAUCUUUACAUUGUCCAGAUGUUAGUUUGGUAUUUUAUGCAUAUUUGUUGGUUCAGAUUGGCAAGAGCAAUUGGUAAUAAGGGCAAGCUUGGCUGGUCUAUGAACAACUAUUAGUAGUGAGCUUUCACUGUAACAUCACUAUACAAAAUACUCAGCUUCUUAAGCUUUAACUUUACUCUUCCACUAGGCCCUAAAACAAAUCAGACAAAUUACAGCAUAGAGGGAAGUACUCUUGCCUCCGAGUCAGAUGGUUGUGAGUUCAAGGUCCAUGCUGGAACUUUCAGUUCACAAUCUAGUCUGAUAUUCCAUUACAGUGCUGGGGACGCAGUGCUGGGGACGCACUGCGUUGUUGGAGGUGCCGUUCUUCGGAUGAAACUAAGGUCCCAUC